UAAGAACCAAUUUUACCGAACCGCAGCUCUCUGCUACCUCUUCGCGUUCCUCUUUCCCAAUCUCUCUCGCGUUCGCCCUCCCAAGGUGAGUUUGGGUUUUCGGUUUCGUUUCUAUUCAGCAUUAUUGUGUGGUUCGUUAUGUUUAUCACUAAAACUGUGAAUUUGAAUUCGUAAUCUUAGGUAUUCUAGAUCUCUAAUAACAUAAUGUAGCGAAUGCCUUUUUCCUCACACCACUUCUUCUUGCACAUUUAAGUCUCAGAUUACCAUUUCUUUUUUGUAUUUCGCUCUUCAAUUUAUUUUCUAUUUUCUUGUUUAAACUUUAAAUUUUUGGUGAAUGUUCUCUUAUGAAAUUUAUGAAAUUUAGGUUAACAGAAGAAUGAUUGUUUUCCCAAUCUUUAUAUGAAAAGCAAGUUGUGUGAUUGUUUUGUACAUAUUUUUUGAUUAACUCUUGUCAAACUAUGUAGCAUGUAUAUAGAUGAUGGACAUGACACUGAGACAUCGUCAUAAUAAUUAUUUAAAAAGUUUAAUUGAUUGAACAUAACCACAUAUAUUGAUGUUGUGUUGAUGAAAAGUAAUUAAUUAAAUAUAAUCAUGUGUAUUGAUGUUGUGAUGGUGACCAACACCAUCCAUGUUAGUUUUCAAUAUAGUUGUAAUUCAUCACGCUAGUGUACUUGUAAGGGACAGGUUUAUUUUGGACCUAGUGGGUUGGUGCUGUAAUGUCUUGGUUUGUACUUUCUAGGCCUAACCUUAC
Molecule: long non-coding RNA, 751 nt
Filed under: Cicer arietinum (chickpea)
Lineage: Eukaryota; Viridiplantae; Streptophyta; Magnoliopsida; Fabales; Fabaceae
Description: long non-coding RNA (CARI_LNC001970)
Source: RNAcentral